Molecule: ribosomal RNA, 586 nt
Filed under: uncultured bacterium
Lineage: Bacteria
Description: bacterial SSU rRNA
Rfam family: Bacterial small subunit ribosomal RNA
Source: RNAcentral
AGAGUUUGAUCCUGGCUCAGAACGAACGCUGGCGGCAGGCCUAACACAUGCAAGUCGAGCGAGAUCUUCGGAUCUAGCGGCGGACGGGUGAGUAACGCGUGGGAAUGUGCCCUUCUCUACGGAAUAGUCCCGGGAAACUGGGUUUAAUACCGUAUACGCCCCUCGGGGGAAAGAUUUAUCGGAGAAGGAUCAGCCCGCGUUGGAUUAGGUAGUUGGUGGGGUAAUGGCCUACCAAGCCGACGAUCCAUAGCUGGUUUGAGAGGAUGAUCAGCCACACUGGGACUGAGACACGGCCCAGACUCCUACGGGAGGCAGCAGUGGGGAAUCUUAGACAAUGGGGGAAACCCUGAUCUAGCCAUGCCGCGUGAGUGACGAAGGCCCUAGGGUCGUAAAGCUCCUUCGCCAGGGAUGAUAAUGACAGUACCUGGUAAAGAAACCCCGGCUAACUCCGUGCCAGCAGCCGCGGUAAUACGGAGGGGGUUAGCGUUGUUCGGAAUUACUGGGCGUAAAGCGCACGUAGGCGGACUAUUAAGUCAGGGGUGAAAUCCCGGGGGCUCAACCCCGGAACUGCCUUUGAUACUGGGUA